This 1018-nucleotide ribosomal RNA is filed under the name uncultured bacterium. Its description in RNAcentral is "bacterial SSU rRNA". It matches the Rfam family "Bacterial small subunit ribosomal RNA", at positions 33 to 1044 of the family's 1533-position model. The record is from RNAcentral.
AGGCCGUGGCGGGGGCUUACACAUGCAGUCGAGCGGGGAAGGGUAGCUUGCUACCUGACCUAGCGGCGGACGGGUGAGUAAUGCUUAGGAAUCUGCCUAUUAGUGGGGGACAACAUUCCGAAAGGAAUGCUAAUACCGCAUACGCCCUACGGGGGAAAGCAGGGGAUCUUCGGACCUUGCGCUAAUAGAUGAGCCUAAGUCAGAUUAGCUAGUUGGUGGGGUAAAGGCCUACCAAGGCGACGAUCUGUAGCGGGUCUGAGAGGAUGAUCCGCCACACUGGGACUGAGACACGGCCCAGACUCCUACGGGAGGCAGCAGUGGGGAAUAUUGGACAAUGGGCGAAAGCCUGAUCCAGCCAUGCCGCGUGUGUGAAGAAGGCCUUUUGGUUGUAAAGCACUUUAAGCGAGGAGGAGGCUACUGAGAUUAAUACUCUUGGAUAGUGGACGUUACUCGCAGAAUAAGCACCGGCUAACUCUGUGCCAGCAGCCGCGGUAAUACAGAGGGUGCGAGCGUUAAUCGGAUUUACUGGGCGUAAAGCGUGCGUAGGCGGCUUUUUAAGUCGGAUGUGAAAUCCCUGAGCUUAACUUAGGAAUUGCAUUCGAUACUGGGAAGCUAGAGUAUGGGAGAGGAUGGUAGAAUUCCAGGUGUAGCGGUGAAAUGCGUAGAGAUCUGGAGGAAUACCGAUGGCGAAGGCAGCCAUCUGGCCUAAUACUGACGCUGAGGUACGAAAGCAUGGGGAGCAAACAGGAUUAGAUACCCUGGUAGUCCAUGCCGUAAACGAUGUCUACUAGCCGUUGGGGCCUUUGAGGCUUUAGUGGCGCAGCUAACGCGAUAAGUAGACCGCCUGGGGAGUACGGUCGCAAGACUAAAACUCAAAUGAAUUUGACGGGGGCCCGCACAAGCGGUGGAGCAUGUGUUUAAUUCGAUGCAACGCGAAGAACCUUACCUGGUCUUGACAUAGUAAGAACUUUCCAGAGAUGGAUUGGUGCCUUCGGGAACUUAAAAUAAAAGGUGCUGC